UUCGCAAUGCCCGAAAGGGUGACUAUGCGACGCCGCGUGCAGGAUGAAGGCCUUCGGGUUGUAAACUGCUGUCAGGGGGGAAGAAACCUCGCAUGUUAACAGCGUGCGAGUUUGACAUCACUCCCAAAGGAAGCCACGGCUAACUCUGUGCCAGCAGCCGCGGUAAGACAGAGGUGGCAAGCGUUGUUCGGAUUUAUUGGGUGUAAAGGGCAGGUAGGUGGUCUUGCAAGUCCGGUGUGAAAUCCCUCGGCUCAACCGAGGAACUGCGUUUGAAACUGCAGGGCUAGAGUGCAGGAGGGGAGAGUGGAAUUCCUGGUGGAGCGGUGAAAUGCGUAGAUAUCAGGAAGAACGCCGGAGGCGAAAGCGGCUCUCUGGCCUGUUACUGACGCUGAGGUGCGAAAGCCAAGGGAGCAAACAGGAUUAGAUACCCUGGUAGUCCUAGCCCUAAACGAUGGGCACUAAGUAGAGGGGUUUUA
Molecule: ribosomal RNA, 476 nt
Filed under: uncultured bacterium
Lineage: Bacteria
Description: bacterial SSU rRNA
Rfam family: Bacterial small subunit ribosomal RNA
Source: RNAcentral